This 468-nucleotide ribosomal RNA is filed under the name uncultured bacterium. RNAcentral's name for it is "partial 16S ribosomal RNA". It matches the Rfam family "Bacterial small subunit ribosomal RNA", at positions 28 to 507 of the family's 1533-position model. The record is from RNAcentral.
GACGAACGCUGGCGGCGUGCUUAACACAUGCAAGUCGAACGGAAAGGCCCUGCUUUUGUGGGGUGCUCGAGUGGCGAACGGGUGAGUAACACGUGAGUAACCUGCCCUUGACUUUGGGAUAACUUCAGGAAACUGGGGCUAAUACCGGAUAGGAGCUCCUGCUGCAUGGUGGGGGUUGGAAAGUUUCGGCGGUUGGGGAUGGAAUCGCGGCUUAUCAGCUUGUUGGUGGGGUAGUGGCUUACCAAGGCUUUGACGGGUAGCCGGCCUGAGAGGGUGACCGGCCACAUUGGGACUGAGAUACGGCCCAGACUCCUACGGGAGGCAGCAGUGGGGAAUAUUGCACAAUGGGCGGAAGCCUGAUGCAGCAACGCCGCGUGCGGGAUGACGGCCUUCGGGUUAUAAACCGCUUUCGCCUGUGACGAAGCGUGAGUGACGGUAAUGGGUAAAGAAGCACCGGCUAACUACGUG